CCUACGGGAGGCAGCAGUGGGGUAUAUUGCACAAUGGGGGAAACCCUGAUGCAGCGACGCCGCGUGCGUGAAGAAGUCUUUCGGUAUGUAAAGCUCUAUCAGCAGGGAAGAAAACCGACGUUACCUGACUCAGCCGCCCCGGCUAACUACGUGCCAGCCGCCUCGGUCAUACGUAGGGGGCAAGCGUUAUCCGGAUUUACUGGGCGUAAAGCGCUCGUAGGCGGUAUGUCAAGUCAAGGGUGAAAUCCCCGCGCUCAACGUGGGAACUGCCUUUGAACCUGGCAAACUGGAGUGUGUGAGAGGAUAGUGGAAUUCAAGGUGUAGGAGUGAAAUCCGUAGAUAUCUGGAGGAACAUCAGUGGCGAAGGCGACUAUCUGGCACAUAACUGACGCUGAGGAGCGAAAGCGUGGGUAGCAAACAGGAUUAGAUACCCGUGUAGUC
Molecule: ribosomal RNA, 441 nt
Filed under: uncultured bacterium
Lineage: Bacteria
Description: partial 16S ribosomal RNA
Rfam family: Bacterial small subunit ribosomal RNA
Source: RNAcentral